This 293-nucleotide ribosomal RNA is filed under the name uncultured bacterium. Its description in RNAcentral is "partial 16S ribosomal RNA". It matches the Rfam family "Bacterial small subunit ribosomal RNA", at positions 775 to 1067 of the family's 1533-position model. The record is from RNAcentral.
GGAUUAGAUACCCUGGUAGUCCACGCCGUAAACGAUGUCUACUAGCCGUUGGGGAACUUGAUUCUUUAGUGGCGCAGCUAACGCACUAAGUAGACCGCCUGGGGAGUACGGUUGCAAGAUUAAAACUCAAAUGAAUUGACGGGGGCCCGCACAAGCGGUGGAGCAUGUGGUUUAAUUCGAAGCAACGCGAAGAACCUUACCAACUCUUGACAUCCAGAGAACUCGCUAGAGAUAUCUUGGUGCCUUCGGGAACUCAGACACAGGUGCUGCAUGGCUGUCGUCAGCUCGUGUCG